Molecule: ribosomal RNA, 465 nt
Filed under: uncultured bacterium
Lineage: Bacteria
Description: partial 16S ribosomal RNA
Rfam family: Bacterial small subunit ribosomal RNA
Source: RNAcentral
GACGAACGCUGGCGGCGUGCUUAACACAUGCGAGUCGAGCGGUAAGGCCCCUUCGGGGGUACACGAGCGGCGAACGGGUGCGUAACACGUGAGCAAUCUGCCCAUCACAUCGGGAUAACUCCGGGAAACCGAAGCUAAUACCGAAUACGACCACCUCCGGCAUCGGAUGGUGGUGGAAAGUUCCGGCGGUGAUGGAUGAGCUCGCGGCCUAUCAGCUUGUUGGUGGGGUAACGGCCCACCAAGGCUUCGACGGGUAGCCGGCCUGAGAGGGUGACCGGCCACACUGGGACUGAGACACGGCCCAGACUCCUACGGGAGGCAGCAGUGGGGAAUAUUGGACAAUGGGCGAAAGCCUGAUCCAGCAACGCCGCGUGAGGGAUGACGGCCUUCGGGUUGUAAACCUCUUUCAGCAGGGACGAAGCGCAAGUGACGGUACCUGCAGAAGAAGCACCGGCCAACUACGUG